Molecule: ribosomal RNA, 356 nt
Filed under: uncultured bacterium
Lineage: Bacteria
Description: SSU rRNA
Rfam family: Bacterial small subunit ribosomal RNA
Source: RNAcentral
AGAACGAACGCUGGCGGCGUGGAUAAGACAUGCAAGUCGAACGCGACUUAUUUUGUUAGCAAUAACAGAGUAAGUUGAGUGGCGAAAGGGUGCGUAACACGUGGGAAUUUACCAAGAAGUGGGGAAUAGCUCGACGAAAGUCGAAUUAAUACCGCAUAUGAUCGCAAGAUCAAAGCCGGGGACCGCAAGGCCUGGCGCUUUUUGAGAAGCCCGCGGCCCAUCAGCUAGUUGGCGGGGUAACGGCCCACCAAGGCUAUGACGGGUAGCUGGUCUGAGAGGACGACCAGCCACACUGGAACUGAGACACGGUCCAGACACCUACGGGUGGCAGCAGUCGAGAAUUUUCACAAUGGACG